This 731-nucleotide ribosomal RNA is filed under the name uncultured bacterium. RNAcentral's name for it is "bacterial SSU rRNA". It matches the Rfam family "Bacterial small subunit ribosomal RNA", at positions 768 to 1504 of the family's 1533-position model. The record is from RNAcentral.
AUUAACAGGAUUAGAUACCCUGGUAGUCCACGCCCUAAACGAUGUCUACUAGUUGUCGGGUUUUAAUUAACUUGGUAACGCAGCUAACGCGUGAAGUAGACCGCCUGGGGAGUACGGUCGCAAGAUUAAAACUCAAAGGAAUUGACGGGGACCCGCACAAGCGGUGGAUGAUGUGGAUUAAUUCGAUGCAACGCGAAAAACCUUACCUACCCUUGACAUGUCAGGAAUCCUGGAGAGAUCUGGGAGUGCCCGAAAGGGAACCUGAACACAGGUGCUGCAUGGCUGUCGUCAGCUCGUGUCGUGAGAUGUUGGGUUAAGUCCCGCAACGAGCGCAACCCUUGUCAUUAGUUGCUACGAAAGGGCACUCUAAUGAGACUGCCGGUGACAAACCGGAGGAAGGUGGGGAUGACGUCAAGUCCUCAUGGCCCUUAUGGGUAGGGCUUCACACGUCAUACAAUGGUGCAUACAGAGGGCCGCCAACCCGCGAGGGGGAGCUAAUCCCAGAAAGUGCAUCGUAGUCCGGAUCGCAGUCUGCAACUCGACUGCGUGAAGUUGGAAUCGCUAGUAAUCGCGGAUCAGCAUGUCGCGGUGAAUACGUUCCCGGGUCUUGUACACACCGCCCGUCACACCAUGGGAGCGGGUUUUACCAGAAGUAGGUAGCUUAACCGCAAGGGGGGCGCUUACCACGGUAGGAUUCGUGACUGGGGUGAAGUCGUAACAAGGUAGCCAAU